RNAcentral lists this ribosomal RNA (311 nucleotides) under uncultured bacterium. RNAcentral describes it as "bacterial SSU rRNA". It matches the Rfam family "Bacterial small subunit ribosomal RNA", at positions 29 to 327 of the family's 1533-position model. The record is from RNAcentral.
AAUCAACGCUGGCGGCGUGCCUAACACAUGCAAGUCGAACGCGAAAGUUCCGCAAGGGAUGAGUAGAGUGGCAAACGGGUGAGUAACACGUGGGUGACCUGCCUUCGAGUGGGGGAUAACGUCCCGAAAGGGACGCUAAUACCGCAUAACAUCCUGCCUUUGAAGAGGCGGUGAGCAAAGCCGGGGAUCGCAAGACCUGGCGCUUGAAGAGGGGCCCGCGUCCGAUUAGCUAGNGGUGGGGUAACGGCUCACCAAGGCGACGAUCGGUAGCCGGCCUAAGAGGGCGGACGGCCACACUGGGACUGAGACAC